RNAcentral lists this ribosomal RNA (468 nucleotides) under uncultured bacterium. RNAcentral describes it as "partial 16S ribosomal RNA". It matches the Rfam family "Bacterial small subunit ribosomal RNA", at positions 28 to 507 of the family's 1533-position model. The record is from RNAcentral.
GACGAACGCUGGCGGCGUGCUUAACACAUGCAAGUCGAACGGAAAGGCCCUGCUUUUGUGGGGUGCUCGAGUGGCGAACGGGCGAGUAACACGUGAGUAACCUGCCCUUGACUUUGGGAUAACUUCAGGAAACUGGGGCUAAUACCGGAUAGGAGCUCCUGCUGCAUGGUGGGGGUUGGAAAGUUUCGGCGGUUGGGGAUGGACUCGCGGCUUAUCAGCUUGUUGGUGGGGUAGCGGCUUACCAAGGCUUUGACGGGUAGCCGGCCUGAGAGGGUGACCGGCCACAUUGGGACUGAGAUACGGCCCAGACUCCUACGGGAGGCAGCAGUGGGGAAUAUUGCACAAUGGGCGGAAGCCUGAUGCAGCAACGCCGCGUGCGGGAUGACGGCCUUCGGGUUGUAAACCGCCUUCGCCUGUGACGAAGCGUGAGUGACGGUAAUGGGUAAAGAAGCACCGGCUAACUACGUG